UGCCUGGUGGUCCAGUGGCUAAGACUCUGUUCUACCACUGCAGGAGGCCUGGGUUUGAUCCCGGUCGGGCAA
RNAcentral lists this transfer RNA (72 nucleotides) under Ovis aries (sheep). It matches the Rfam family "tRNA". Rfam says of the family: Transfer RNA (tRNA) molecules are approximately 80 nucleotides in length. The record is from Rfam by way of RNAcentral. Lineage: Eukaryota; Metazoa; Chordata; Mammalia; Artiodactyla; Bovidae.